AGAAAGCGCAGCCAUGCUUUGCAGAGGCUACAGCAUCGCUCUCACUGGUAGUAUCAGCUUCUCGUCAAACGGAGUCUCUGCCUCUCCGCCGCUACACCGGCAUGAACCGGGAAUACAAGCCGUCACUGUAAAGGUCCGCAGUGAAGCGAUAUGAAGACGAAGCGAGGUGAAAAAGCAGCGGCGCUCGGAUACACGUUGGCAGCGGCGUAGGAUUCACCAUAUGGCGCGGAGCGUAUCGUGGUGCGUUAUGGAAUAACGGAGGACAUUUACGAUUUCUGCAGUUUUGGACAAAGCAGCCACGGAAACACACCUAACGGAGUGCUUUUCGCCUGCAUGAGCGGCCUGGGACUUAUAACCACUUGGCCUGCGAAGCUGCCUGCUGGUUGUCUUGCGUUUAAAUCUAACCCGUUUUUCUUCAGCUGAUUUUUAACAUUUCAAGGUAGGGCACACACAACAACCAGGACAGGAUUUGAUCCCUUUGGACCUGCGCCGGAUGUUUGGGAUUUUCAGAUUCGUCCAACUUCACAUAUCGCUGUUUAGACAUAGGCCCCAAAGGCUGCAAAAUAAAUUGAUUAUAUUUAUAAUGAAAGAUUCGAGCUGUGUGCCCAUUCUCUGCAGAAGUGUAAAUGCAGCUGGUGGACGGACACGCGUUUAUGCACACAGAGGAGCGGGUUGUGUCUCUCCGUGUUCACAGCGGACCUUGAUUUAAUGUCUUACAAUUAAGGCACGCGGUGAAUGCCAAGAGAUGACACUUCUUUCUUCGGAGGUCUACACAGCCAAGUAACCCAUCUUUAAACCAUGUACGGCAUUUUCAAGCAUGUUGAGGUUUUCUGUUUCUCGGACUGUAACGCUGUAUUCAUGUGGUGUUUCUUUCCUGUUUCAAAGAAAUAAAAUGUGCACAACAAAA
Molecule: long non-coding RNA, 907 nt
Organism: Betta splendens (Siamese fighting fish)
Lineage: Eukaryota; Metazoa; Chordata; Actinopteri; Anabantiformes; Osphronemidae
Exons: 2
Source: RefSeq, a predicted model, not a curated record